UUCUGUAGCAGUCCUGUUACAUUACCAUCUUUCAGGAGGCCUGUCACUAGGCCAUGGCAGUAGGAAAGAGGAGCCGGAAAGGAACAUUGAUGAGGGCAGUUGCAUUCGGUGAUUUCCCAAGAGGAGACAAACACCAAUCUACUGAAGGACUUCGGCUGCCAGCAGCUGUUCUUGACUAUCUGAACAUCUGGUUUUGUAAACGACUUGUAACAAAAACUUCACAAGCUGAGAUUCAUCCUCAAGAGCACAACUGGCAUUUAAAGAGCUUUUAGGAAAAACUUAUUUUAAGGUCAAAGAAUAAAGCAGAAUCAAAAGUUAUAUUGACUCUUUGCCUGGAGGAAAUAAGAAGUAGAUUUAACUUUUCUACGUAUGAUGCUAGGUGUUGUGGUGUACUUCUGUGGCCCAGCUACUUGGGAGGCUGAGGCAGAAGAUCACUGGAUCCCAAGGAGGUUGAGGGUGCAGUGAACUGUGAUUGUAUGUGAUUGCACCGUUACAUUCCAGCCUGAGCAAAAGGACAAUGCCCUGUCUCUGAAAAAAAAAAAAAAAAAUUAACUAACAAAAAACAAAUUAGAAAAAGAAACAUAUUUUAUGUCACAGUUCUCCUCUAGGAGCAUCAAAAUAGCCAUUAAUACAGUAAAGUCACUGAGACUUUUUUGAUUUUUGUUUAGCUGUAUUUAAAAGUAUGUUCACUCUUAUAACUUGCUGUGGAGAAAUUAUUUUGACAGUGAAACUAUUUUUCUCGCCUUGAUACCUAUCAUAUUAGUUUUCUGUGCUGUAAAAAAAUACCACAAAAUGGUGGCUUUGAACAACAGAAGUAUAUUGUCUCAUGUUUCUGAAGCCUAGAAGUCUUAAAUCAAGGUAUGGACUGGGCCAUGCUCCUUCUGAAACUUGUAGAGAAAGGAUCCAUCCUUGCCUCUUCCUGCUUUUGGUAGCCCAGAUGUUCUUUGGUUGGUGGCAGCAUAAUUCCAAUGUUUGUCUCUUUUUUAUAUGUGUUCAAAUUCCUUUUUUAAAAAAAAUGACAUCAGUUGUGUUGGAUAAUGGCUCAUCCUAAUGCCCUCAUUUUUGCCUGAUUAUAUUGAUGAAUAAGUUAUUUCCAAACAAAGUCAUAGUCUGGGUUACCAGGGUAUAGGGCUUUAAGAGGUAUAUUUUUGUGUGGGGCACAAUUAAACUUGUAAUGUCUGUUAACAUGUUCUCUGAGGAACAUAAUUUGGAAUAUACUAUGUACAUAAUCACUCCUCUUAUCUAUUGCAGUGGAAAGGUGGGUGUUGUAUGUGUGAUUUUUAAAUUGUGCAGAACAUGCAAAAACUUCACAGCUAAAGAAAAAUAUGUAAAGUUAACAAUUAUUCCAUAACUGUAAUUUAUGUAAUCUAUCCUUAUUAAUGAGUAUGAA
Molecule: long non-coding RNA, 1390 nt
Organism: Callithrix jacchus (white-tufted-ear marmoset)
Lineage: Eukaryota; Metazoa; Chordata; Mammalia; Primates; Cebidae
Source: RefSeq, a predicted model, not a curated record